Molecule: long non-coding RNA, 743 nt
Organism: Xiphophorus couchianus (Monterrey platyfish)
Lineage: Eukaryota; Metazoa; Chordata; Actinopteri; Cyprinodontiformes; Poeciliidae
Exons: 2
Source: RefSeq, a predicted model, not a curated record
CUGACCAAUCAGAGGCGAGAAGGGAAAAUUAAAGGCAACGUGUAACUUUACUACCAGUGAAACGCCCGAAACGUCGCAAUAAUCCUGAUUGAUCUGACUGUUGUAUUUUGGAUAAAAAUCAUUUUAGAUCAGAUGACUGCUGCAUGAAAUCUUCGCAUGGUUGGAGGGUUAGAAUGCCAGGCAGAGACGUUGGAGUAGGAGACAAGAUGAUGUUUCAACUUUGGUUCCUUUCUACUCGACUGUGAUUUGAUUUGGGGUCGUAGUUCAGGUAUAAUUUGAACCUUUGAGAUGCUAAACAGCUGCUCCAAGUUGCAAAAAUAUAUUAUCGCCACAUUUACGCUUUGGAAUGAGCAGAUUGUGGUCUUUCAUUUCGUCCCAAUCAACUCGCACAGCAACCAGAGACUUGAGCAGUUUAUUCUGAGUUACAAUAUAAGGACAUUAAUUCCCAUUUACAGUUCAUCGUAGAGGUAUUUGAAGAAAAACAAGUUUGGUUUUCCUUCCACUGUGCAGUCGUGCAACUUUGUGCUGGUGUAUAGCAUAAAUUCCCAAUUAAACAUUGUUUUUUCAUGGUUCCAACAUGACGUGUAGCUGUUUCUUCUAAAGGAGUUUAGGAAACAUCAAAAUGAAGAUUUAGGAGUUUGAGCUGAAUGUGUCAAUCUACACCAGGGCUAGGCAAUACGGCUUAAAAAUAAAGAUCCAGAUUCUUUCAUACCAGAUCUGAUUUCUUAAUUAAUUACACAGGA